RNAcentral lists this ribosomal RNA (400 nucleotides) under uncultured bacterium. RNAcentral's name for it is "bacterial SSU rRNA". It matches the Rfam family "Bacterial small subunit ribosomal RNA", at positions 359 to 776 of the family's 1533-position model. The record is from RNAcentral.
GAAUAUUGGACAAUGGGGGCAACCCUGAUCCAGCCAUGCCGCGUGAGUGAAGAAGGCCUUAGGGUUGUAAAGCUCUUUCAACGGUGAAGAUGAUGACGGUAGCCGUAGAAGAAGCCCCGGCUAACUCCGUGCCAGCAGCCGCGGUAAUACGGAGGGGGCAAGCGUUGUUCGGAAUUACUGGGCGUAAAGGGCGCGUAGGCGGAUUUACAAGUUAGGGGUGAAAGGCCCGGGCUCAACCUGGGAACUGCCUUUAAAACUGUAAGUCUUGAGUUCGAGAGAGGAUGGCGGAAUACCCAGUGUAGAGGUGAAAUUCGUAGAUAUUGGGUAGAACACCGGUGGCGAAGGCGGCCAUCUGGCUCGACACUGACGCUGAGGCGCGAAAGCGUGGGGAGCAAACAGG